GACGAACGCUGGCGGCGUGCCUAACACAUGCAAGUCGAGCGAAUGAAGUUCCUUCGGGAAUGGAUUUAGCGGCGGACGGGUGAGUAACACGUGGGCAACCUGCCUCAUAGAGGGGAAUAGCCUUCCGAAAGGGAGAUUAAUACCGCAUAAGAUUGUAGUAUCGCAUGAUACAGCAAUUAAAGGAGCAAUCCGCUAUGAGAUGGGCCCCCGGCGCAUUAGCUAGUUGGUGAGGUAACGGCUCACCAAGGCGACGAUGCGUAGCCGACCUGAGAGGGUGAUCGGCCACAUUGGGACUGAGACACGGCCCAGACUCCUACGGGAGGCAGCAGUGGGGAAUAUUGCACAAUGGGGGAAACCCUGAUGCAGCAACGCCGCGUGAGUGAUGACGGCCUUCGGGUUGUAAAGCUCUGUCUUCAGGGACGAUAAUGACGGUACCUGAGGAGGAAGCCACGGCUAACUACGUG
RNAcentral lists this ribosomal RNA (464 nucleotides) under uncultured bacterium. RNAcentral's name for it is "partial 16S ribosomal RNA". It matches the Rfam family "Bacterial small subunit ribosomal RNA", at positions 28 to 507 of the family's 1533-position model. The record is from RNAcentral.